RNAcentral lists this long non-coding RNA (383 nucleotides) under Coturnix japonica (Japanese quail). RNAcentral describes it as "lncRNA (ENSCJPG00005016254.1)". Lineage: Eukaryota; Metazoa; Chordata; Aves; Galliformes; Phasianidae. The record is from RNAcentral.
UCUCUUUUUGAAGCAAACUUAUUAAGCCUGUGUUUGUUUUUUUUUUCUUUCCAGUGUGAAAUCAGAGUUUCUCAUUGCUAUGUUGCUGACAGAAUCACAGCAGAAAGGUCUCCAAAUUGCCUGAUGGGCUGUAGAUUGAUUUCUGUACCAAAGGUACAUUUGCUCAUUUACAACCAUUCUCAGCAUUUUCAAAAAGGAAUGCCUAAAGGUAAGCAGUAAAGUCAAGCACCCAGGUAGAACUAGUUGGUUUUAAUUCCCUAGAAUAGAUCAUGUCCUCUUCAAGGCAAUGUAUUUUUAUAUUAAGUAAGUUGUAAAUUGAAGACUUUUACUUUCAGUUACCCAGAUUUAAAUAAUAUUUGAGAGAUAAACUUUUCCCAGUUUUG